UACGGAGGGUGCAAGCGUUGCUCGGAAUUAUUGGGCGUAAAGGGUAGGUAGGUGGUCUUAUUUGUCUGGGGUGAAAGCCUUGAGCUUAACUCAAGAAGUGCCCCAGAAACGGUGAGACUGGAGUCCUGGAGAGGGUCGUGGAAUUCCCGGUGUAGCGGUGAAAUGCGUAGAGAUCGGGAGGAACACCAGAGGCGAAGGCGGCGACCUGGACAGGUACUGACACUCAACUACGAAAGCGUGGGGAGCAAACAGG
RNAcentral lists this ribosomal RNA (253 nucleotides) under uncultured bacterium. Its description in RNAcentral is "partial 16S ribosomal RNA". It matches the Rfam family "Bacterial small subunit ribosomal RNA", at positions 524 to 776 of the family's 1533-position model. The record is from RNAcentral.